CGGUGGCAGCUAGGGAAGCCAUUCGCAAAACAAUUGUUAUUGCGAGAAUGUUUAUUUGGAUUUUUAUUAUUAAAUUAAAAUGGAAAAAAAUAAUGAAGUUUGUUGGACUAUGUAACAAUUAAUUGUUGGCAACAUAGCUCAUGUAUUAAAGUCUUCUGUCACAGUUGACUCAGCGAGAAUGAAGACAUUGAUACACUUUUGCAUUAUGGAAUACACAAGUUGGCAGUUCCUCGUCCACUGCCACCCAAAUACAGGUAUAAAAAAUCCUUAUCUGUACGUAACAGACGAUGGAGACGAAGUGAUUAUUAUGUGUGGCAAAAGAUUAUUUUAUGAAGUUUUUCAUUUUCUGACUUCGUGAUGGAACUUAUUGGAGUACAAUUUUCUUGGACAUA
Molecule: non-coding RNA, 392 nt
Organism: Hydra vulgaris (swiftwater hydra)
Lineage: Eukaryota; Metazoa; Cnidaria; Hydrozoa; Anthoathecata; Hydridae
Source: RefSeq, a predicted model, not a curated record